Molecule: ribosomal RNA, 449 nt
Filed under: uncultured beta proteobacterium
Lineage: Bacteria; Pseudomonadati; Pseudomonadota; Betaproteobacteria
Description: bacterial SSU rRNA
Rfam family: Bacterial small subunit ribosomal RNA
Source: RNAcentral
GGAGGAAAGCAGGGGAUCGCAAGACCUUGCGCUCAUUGAGCGGCCGAUGCCUGAUUAGCUAGUUGGUGAGGUAAAGGCUUACCAAGGCGACGAUCAGUAGCUGGUCUGAGAGGACGACCAGCCACACUGGGACUGAGACACGGCCCAGACUCCUACGGGAGGCAGCAGUGGGGAAUUUUGGACAAUAGGGGAAACCCUGAUCCAGCCAUGCCGCGUGAGUGAAGAAGGCCUUCGGGUUGUAAAGCUCUUUCAGCCGGAACGAAACGGUCACGGCUAAUACCUGUGACUACUGACGGUACCGGAAGAAGAAGCACCGGCUAACUACUACGUGCCAGCAGCCGCGGUAAUACGUAGGGUGCGAGCGUUAAUCGGAAUUACUGGGCGUAAAGCGUGCGCAGGCGGUUUUGUAAGUCAGAAGAGAAAUCCCCGGGCUUAACCUGGGAACUGCG